Molecule: long non-coding RNA, 230 nt
Organism: Oncorhynchus gorbuscha (pink salmon)
Lineage: Eukaryota; Metazoa; Chordata; Actinopteri; Salmoniformes; Salmonidae
Exons: 3
Source: RefSeq, a predicted model, not a curated record
UGAACAAUGCCAAACAUAGCAUCAUUACAGCAUUGAGAAAACGUCAUUCAGAACACUGCGCUAAGGUCGCAGUUGCAAAUGAGAACUUGUUCUCAACUAGCCUACCUGGUUAAAUAAAGUGACGUGUCUGUGUGCUGUGGAGGAAUGGAGCUGCUCUGACCCGGCAGUGGCCAGGGGGUGUCUGGAGCUGGGCUAGAGCCUGUCAGAGCCAGGGGGUGUCUGGAGCUGGG